This 254-nucleotide ribosomal RNA is filed under the name uncultured bacterium. Its description in RNAcentral is "partial 16S ribosomal RNA". It matches the Rfam family "Bacterial small subunit ribosomal RNA", at positions 524 to 776 of the family's 1533-position model. The record is from RNAcentral.
UACGUAGGGGGCAAGCGUUGUCCGGAUUUAUUGGGCGUAAAGAGCGUGUAGGCGGCUAGGUAGGUCCGUUGUGAAAACUCGAGGCUCAACCUCGAGACGCCGGUGGAAACCAUCUAGCUAGAGUCCGGAAGAGGCGAGUGGAAUUCCCGGUGUAGCGGUGAAAUGCGCAGAUAUCGGGAGGAACACCAAUGGCGAAGGCAGCUCGCUGGGACGUGACUGACGCUGAGUGAGCGAAAGCCAGGGGAGCAAACGGG